GCGGACGUAGCUCAGUUGGUAGAGCGCGAGCUUCCCAAGCUCGAGGUCGCGGGUUCGACCCCCGUCGUCCGCU
This 73-nucleotide transfer RNA is filed under the name Actinomycetes bacterium. RNAcentral describes it as "Actinobacteria bacterium tRNA-Gly". It matches the Rfam family "tRNA". Rfam says of the family: Transfer RNA (tRNA) molecules are approximately 80 nucleotides in length. Their secondary structure includes four short double-helical elements and three loops (D, anti-codon, and T loops). RNAcentral also lists the same sequence under 4 other names. The record is from RNAcentral. Lineage: Bacteria; Bacillati; Actinomycetota; Actinomycetes.